GAACUGCGAAUGGCUCAUUACACCAGCCUUAAUUUACUUGACCUUGACACCCUACUUGGAUAACUGUGGUAAUUCUAGAGCUAAUACAUGCACCAAAGCUCCAAUCUCCCCAGAGCGGAGCGCAUUUGUUCGCCACAAAACCAAGCGCCUCAGGGCGUUCAGUGUUGACUCAGAACAACUAAGCUGAUCGCACGGUCUUGCACCGGCGACGUGUCUUUCAAGUGUCUGCCUUAUCAACUUUCGAUGGUAGUGUAUCUGACUACCAUGGUGAUGACGGGUAACGGAGGAUAAGGGUUCGACUCCGGAGAAGGGGCCUGAGAAAUGGCCACUACGUCUAAGGAUGGCAGCAGGCGCGCAAAUUACCCACUCUCGACGCGAGGAGGUAGUGACGAGAAAUAACGAGACCGUUCUCAUCUGAGGCCGGUCAUCGGAAUGGGUACAAUUUAAACCCUUUAACGAGUAUCUAUGAGAGGGCAAGUCUGGUGCCAGCAGCCGCGGUAAUUCCAGCUCUCAAAAUGCAUAGAAUUAUUGCUGCGGUUAAAAAGCUCGUAGUUGGAUCUGUGCUGAGCGACCGGUCUGCCCACUGGGCACGCACUGGCUCGCCCGGCUUUCCCUGCCGGUCUCUCUCUGACGUUGGUUUUAACCGGCUGGCGUCAGUGGGCUGGCGAGUUUACUUUGAACAAAUCAGAGUGCUUCAAACAGGCGUCUCGCCUGAAUGUUCGUGCAUGGAAUAAUAGAAGAGGAUCACGGUCCGAUUUUAUUGGGUUUUGCUGACCGAGAUAAUGGUUAACAGAGACAAACGGGGCCAUUCGUAUUGCUACGUGAGAGGUGAAAUUCUUGGACCGUAGCAAGACGGACUACAGCGAAAGCAUUUGGCAAGAAUGUCUUCAUUAAUCAAGAACGAAAGUCAGAGGUUCGAAGGCGAUCAGAUACCGCCCUAGUUCUGACCGUAAACGAUGCCAACUAGCGAUCCGCCGGCGGAUUCAUUCGCCCUGGUGGGGAGCUUCCCGGAAACGAAAGUCUUCCGGUUCCGGGGGAAGUAUGGUUGCAAAGCUGAAACUUAAAGGAAUUGACGGAAGGGCACCACCAGGAGUGGAGCCUGCGGCUUAAUUUGACUCAACACGGGGAAACUCACCCGGCCCGGACACCGUAAGGAUUGACAGAUUGAUAGCUUUUUCAUGAUUCGGUGGAUGGUGGUGCAUGGCCGUUCUUAGUUCGUGGAGCGAUUUGUCUGGUUUAUUCCGAUAACGAGCGAGACUCUGGCCUACUAAAUAGUUGGCACAUUGCCACUGUGUGCACAACUUCUUAGAGGGAUUUUCGGUGUUCAGCCGCACGAAAUUGAGCAAUAACAGGUCUGUGAUGCCCUUAGAUGUCCGGGGCUGCACGCGCGCUACACUGGCAAAAUCAGCGUGCUUGUCCUCCCCCGAAAGGGGUUGGUAAACCGAUGAAAAUUUGCCGUGAUUGGGAUCGGACAUUGCAAUUAUUGUCCGUGAACGAGGAAUCCCUUGUAAGGGCGAGUCAUCAACUCGUCCUGAAUACGUCCCUGCCCUUUGUACACACCGCCCGUCGCUGCCCGGGACUGAGCCAUUUCGAGAAAACCGGGGAUUGUUGGCCUGACGGCUCUCGGGUCGUCUAGCCGAUGAGAACCGGCUUAAUCGCACUGGUUUGAACCGGGCAAAAGUCGUAACAAGGUAGCUGUAGGUGAACCUGCAGCUGGAUCA
This 1721-nucleotide ribosomal RNA is filed under the name Rotylenchulus reniformis. RNAcentral describes it as "SSU rRNA". It matches the Rfam family "Eukaryotic small subunit ribosomal RNA". The record is from RNAcentral. Lineage: Eukaryota; Metazoa; Nematoda; Chromadorea; Rhabditida; Hoplolaimidae.